GCCUGGGUGGCUCAGUCGGUUAAGCAUCUGACUUCGGCUCAGGUCACGAUCUCACGGUUUGUGAGUUUGAGCCCCACAUCGGGCU
This 85-nucleotide transfer RNA is filed under the name Felis catus (domestic cat). It matches the Rfam family "tRNA". From Rfam's summary of the family: Transfer RNA (tRNA) molecules are approximately 80 nucleotides in length. Their secondary structure includes four short double-helical elements and three loops (D, anti-codon, and T loops). Lineage: Eukaryota; Metazoa; Chordata; Mammalia; Carnivora; Felidae. The record is from Rfam by way of RNAcentral.